AUCCUGCCAGUAGUCAUAUGCUUGUCUCAAAGAUUAAGCCAUGCAUGUCUAAGUAUAAGCACUUGUACUGUGAAACUGCGAAUGGCUCAUUAAAUCAGUUAUUGUUUACUUGAUUGUACAAUGCUUACAUGGAUAUCUGUGGUAAUUCUAGAGCUAAUACAUGCGAAAGGUCCCGACCUCUGGAAGGGAUGUAUUUAUCAGCUUUUAAACCGAUGGAGUCCUUGUGGCUCUUAUUAUUGACGAAUCAUGAUAACUGUUCGAAUCGCACGGCCCUUGUGCUGGCGAUGUUUCUUUCAAAUUUCUGCCCUAUCAACUGUCGAUGGUAUGGUAGUGGCUUACCAUGGUUGUUACGGGUGACGGAGAAUCAGGGUUCGGUUCCGGAGAGGGAGCCUGAGAAACGGCUACCACAUCUAAGGAAGGCAGCAGGCACGGAAAUUACCCAAUCCCAAUUCGGGGAGGUAGUGACAAGAAAUAACGAUACGGGGUCUUUACAGGUCUCGCAAUCGGAAUGAGUACAAUUUAAAUCCUUUAACGAGGAUCCAAUGGAGGGCAAGUCUGGUGCCAGCAGCCGCGGUAAUUCCAGCUCCAUUAGCGUAUAUUAAAGUUGUUGCAGUUAAAAAGCUCGUAGUUGGAUUUCAGUAUGGGCCAGUUGGUCGGCCGCAAGGCCUGUUACUGACUGGUCUGUUCUUCUUCUCAAAGACUGCAUGUGCUCUUCGCUGAGUGUGUGUAGGAUUUGGGACGUUUACUUUGAAAAAAUUAGAGUGUUCAAGGCAGGCUUGUAAGCUUGAAUACAUGAGCAUGGAAUAAUGGAAUAGGACUACGGUCCCUAUUUCGUUGGUUUGGAGGACCGAAGUAAUGAUUAAGAGGGACAGUUGGGGGCAUCCGUAUUUCGUAGUCAGAGGUGAAAUUCUUGGAUCUACGAAAGACGAACAACUGCGAAAGCAUUUGCCAAGAGUGUUUUCAUUAAUCAAGAACGAAAGUUAGAGGAUCGAAGACGAUCAGAUACCGUCCUAGUUCUAACCGUAAACGAUGCCGACUAGGGAUCAGUGGGUGUUAUUGUACGACCCCAUUGGCACCUCACGGGAAACCAAAGUGUUUGGGUUCCGGGGGAAGUAUAGUCGCAAGGCCGAAACUUAAAGGAAUUGACGGAAGGGCACCACCAGGAGUGGAGCCUGCGGCUUAAUUUGACUCAACACGGGAAAACUCACCAGGUCCAGACAUAGUAAGGAUUGACAGGUUGAGAGCCCUUUCUUGAUUCUAUGGGUGGUGGUGCA
RNAcentral lists this ribosomal RNA (1274 nucleotides) under Hydrodendron cf. stechowi AP-2022. RNAcentral describes it as "SSU rRNA". It matches the Rfam family "Eukaryotic small subunit ribosomal RNA", at positions 11 to 1284 of the family's 1831-position model. Lineage: Eukaryota; Metazoa; Cnidaria; Hydrozoa; Leptothecata; Haleciidae. The record is from RNAcentral.